Molecule: ribosomal RNA, 2253 nt
Filed under: human gut metagenome
Description: bacterial LSU rRNA
Rfam family: Bacterial large subunit ribosomal RNA
Source: RNAcentral
AGGGCAUACGGUGGAUGCCUAGGCGCCAGGAGCCGAAGAAGGACGCGGUAAGCUGCGAAAAGCCACGGGGAACUGCAAGCGAGUAUUGAUCCGUGGAUAUCCGAAUGGGGAAACCCGGCCAUCGUAAUGGAUGGUCAUCCGCAAGGAAGGGAACCCGGGGAACUGAAACAUCUAAGUACCCGGAGGAAAAGAAAUCAAACGAGAUGCCCACAGUAGCGGCGAGCGAAGAGGGCAGAGCCCAAACCUGUAAGCUACGGCUUAUGGGGGUUGAGGACUGACGUAAUUAAGGCCAGGCUUAGCUGAACUACCUGGGAAGGUAGGCGAUAGAAGGUAAGAGCCCUGUAAGCGAAAGGCAGAGCCUUAAGGUCAGUAUCCAGAGUACCACGGAGCACGAGGAAUUCUGUGGGAAGCAGGGGGGACCACCCUCCAAGGCUAAAGACUAACUGGCGACCGAUAGCGCAUAGUACCGUGAGGGAAAGGUGAAAAGAACCCCGGGAGGGGAGUGAAAUAGUACCUGAAACCGUAUGUCUACAAGCAGUCGGAGCGAAAGCGACGGCGUGCCUAUUGAAGAAUGAACCAACGAGUUAUCUGCACUAGCGAGGUUAAGUGGAAGACACGGAGCCGCAGCGAAAGCGAGUCUGAAAAGGGCGGAUAGUUAGUGUAGGUAGACCCGAAACCGCAGUGAUCUACCCAUGUCCAGGUUGAAGCGCAGGUAAAAAUGCGUGGAGGACCGAACCGGUGAGCGUUGAAAAGCUUUCGGAUGAGAUGUGGGUAGGGGUGAAAUUCCAAUCGAACGCGGAGAUAGCUGGUUCUCCCCGAAAUAGCUUUAGGGCUAGCCUCAGGUAGUAAGUAUAGGCGGUAGAGCACUGAUCGGGCUAGGGGCCAUAAAGGUUACCGAACCCUGUCAAACUCCGAAUGGAUAUACUGCAGAGCCUGGGAGUCAGACUACGAGUGAUAAGAUCCGUGGUCAAAAGGGAAACAGCCCAGACCACCGGCUAAGGUCCCAAAUGCCGUACUAAGUGGAAAAGGAUGUGGGGAUUCAUAAACAACCAGGAUGUUGGCUCAGAAGCAGCCACCAUUUAAAGAGUGCGUAAUAGCUCACUGGUCGAGAGUCCCUGCGCCGAAAAUUUCCGGGGCUAAAGUACGGAACCGAAGCCGUGGCUGUGUACUUAGGUACACGGGGUAGGGGAGCGUUGCCACAGGGGUGAAGCUGGUCUGGAAGGACUGGUGGACUUGUGGGAAGUGAGAAUGUUGGUAUGAGUAGCGAAAAGAAAGGUGAGAAUCCUUUCCACCGAAAGCAUAAGGAUUCCUGAGCAACGAUCGUCGUCUCAGGGUAAGUCGGGACCUAAUCCGAGGCAAAGAGCGUAGGAGAUGGACAACAGGUUGAUAUUCCUGUACCGGCAGCAAUUGUUUGAGCGAAGGAGUGACACAGAAGGGCAGGCAGGCGCGAGACUGGAUUGUCGCGUGCAAGCGUGUAGGGUAGUGUACAGGCAAAUCCGUACACUGAGAGCCUGAGGCGUUACGCGGAGCGAGCAGAGAUGCGAGCGAAGCUGCUGAUCCCACACUGUCGAGAAAAGCUUCUAGUGAGAGAGCUGCCGCCCGUACCGUAAACCGACACAGGUAUGCGGGGAGAGAAUCCUAAGGUGCGCGGGAGAACCCUCGUUAAGGAACUCGGCAAAAUGUACCCGUAACUUCGGGAUAAGGGUAGCCGUCUUGGUGAAGGAACUAGCUUCUGGAGCUGAAGGCGGUCGCAGAGAAGAGGCCCAAGCGACUGUUUACCACAAACACAGGUGCCUGCUAAAGCGAAAGCUGACGUAUAGGUGCUGACACCUGCCCAGUGCUGGAAGGUUAAGGAAGGAUGUCCGGGCAACCAAAGCAUUCGACCGAAGCCCCAGUGAACGGCGGCCGUAACUAUAACGGUCCUAAGGUAGCGAAAUUCCUUGUCGGGUAAGUUCCGACCCGCACGAAAGGUGUAACGAUUUGGGCACUGUCUCAACGAGGGACCCGGUGAAAUUGAAAUACCUGUGAAGAUGCAGGUUACCCGCGACUGGACAGAAAGACCCCAUGGAGCUUUACUGUAACCUGACAUUGGGUUUUGUUGUAUUACGUACAGGAUAGGUGGGAGGCUUGGAAGGCUGGACGCUAGUCUGGCUGGAGCCGGCGUUGGGAUACCACCCUUGAUACAACGGAAUUCUAACCGAGAGAGUAACGAAAUCCGGGACAGUGUCAGGCGGGCAGUUUGACUGGGGCGGU